RNAcentral lists this ribosomal RNA (778 nucleotides) under uncultured bacterium. RNAcentral's name for it is "bacterial SSU rRNA". It matches the Rfam family "Bacterial small subunit ribosomal RNA", at positions 8 to 796 of the family's 1533-position model. The record is from RNAcentral.
AGAGUUUGAUCAUGGCUCAGGAUGAACCUAGCGGGAGUAACACAUGCAAGUCGAGCGGCAAGGAGCGAUGCCCUAGAGCGGCGCACGGGUGAGUAACGCGUAUGCAACCUGCCUCGUACAGGGGGAUAGCCCGGAGAAAUUCGGAUUAAUACCCCAUGUGGCCAUAAGCUCGCAUGGGAUUAUGGUUAAAGAUUUAUCGGUAUGAGAUGGGCAUGCGUGACAUUAGCUGGUUGGCGGGGUAACGGCCCACCAAGGCAUCGAUGUCUAGGGGUUCUGAGAGGAUGAUCCCCCACACUGGUACUGAGACACGGACCAGACUCCUACGGGAGGCAGCAGUGAGGAAUAUUGGUCAAUGGGCGCAAGCCUGAACCAGCCAUCCCGCGUGAAGGAUGAAUGUACUAUGUAUUGUAAACUUCUUUUCUGCACCACGAACGGGCGCUACGCGUAGCGUUGUGACGGUAGUGCAGGAAUAAGCAUCGGCUAACUCCGUGCCAGCAGCCGCGGUAAUACGGAGGAUGCGAGCGUUAUCCGGAUUCAUUGGGUUUAAAGGGUGCGUAGGCGGUUUUUUAAGUCAGUGGUGAAAUCCUGCGGCUCAACCGUAGAACUGCCAUUGAUACUGAGGAACUUGAAUAUAAUUGAGGUAGGCGGAAUGUGCAGUGUAGCGGAAAUGCUUAGAUAUUGCACAGAACACCGAUUGCGAAGGCAGCUUACCAAGCUAUGAUUGACGCUGAGGCACGAAAGCGUGGGGAUCGAACAGGAUUAGAUACCCUAGUAGUCC